AUUGAACGCUGGCGGCAUGCCUUACACAUGCAAGUCGAACGGCAGCACGGGUUCUUGCACCUGGUGGCGAGUGGCGAACGGGUGAGUAAUACAUCGGAACAUGUCCUGUAGUGGGGGAUAGCCCGGCGAAAGCCGGAUUAAUACCGCAUACGAUCCACGGAUGAAAGCGGGGGACCUUCGGGCCUCGCGCUAUAGGGUUGGCCGAUGGCUGAUUAGCUAGUUGGUGGGGUAAAGGCCUACCAAGGCGACGAUCAGUAGCUGGUCUGAGAGGACGACCAGCCACACUGGGACUGAGACACGGCCCAGACUCCUACGGGAGGCAGCAGUGGGGAAUGUUGGACAAUGGGCGAAAGCCUGAUCCAGCAAUGCCGCGUGUGUGAAGAAGGCCUUCGGGUUGUAAAGCACUUUUGUCCGGAAAGAAAUCCUUGACUCUAAUACAGUCGGGGGAUGACGGUACCGGAAGAAUAAGCACCGGCUAACUACGUG
RNAcentral lists this ribosomal RNA (486 nucleotides) under uncultured bacterium. Its description in RNAcentral is "partial 16S ribosomal RNA". It matches the Rfam family "Bacterial small subunit ribosomal RNA", at positions 30 to 507 of the family's 1533-position model. The record is from RNAcentral.